Molecule: small nuclear RNA, 109 nt
Organism: Molossus molossus (Pallas's mastiff bat)
Lineage: Eukaryota; Metazoa; Chordata; Mammalia; Chiroptera; Molossidae
Source: RefSeq, a predicted model, not a curated record
ACUUACUUUGGUGACAAGUCCAUGCGCUAAACUGGAACAAUACAGAAAAGAUUGACAUGACCCAUGCACAGGAAUAACACACAAAUUACUGGAGUGUUUUCAUAUUUUG